CCAUAACUGUUUCAUUGAGUGGUCGAGAUUGAGAAUGGCAUGGUGAUAGCGACCGCUGGGCCGUUACCAGCACUAAAAGCUAACCCUCAAAAACUUUUUUUGCUGCACGCUUUUCGUGUUACCAUGACUUCCUCCGGAGGGCUUUGAGAAACAAGAGAAGGCUGAUACUUUUGAGAGACAAAUUGCUUGAUUGGUUUUGCGUUUCCGUUUGUUCCUUUUUUUUUUUGGAUUUUAUUAAAGGACGCACUAGGAAUCUGCUCUCACGUUCUCAUGGGUUUAGGUCACAUCAGAAAUCCCCAGGCUAUCUUUCGGGUAAUCUCCAUGAAACAAGAGAGAAAAAAGUCAGGUAUGGAUAUGGAUGGAAUGCUAAAACUAGAGAAGCGAGAAGGAGAUAACCAAUAAGAGGAGGAGCAUUCCAUCGCGAUGUUGAACGCUGAUUCCCGAUUUCUUUCAACCCUUCAGCUCUCUCUGCCAAAAGCCAAGCUCAAGGGGAGGGAGCCUAUUACCGCACUCAUCGAGUCAUGGUUGAGCGUCAUCCGGUAUCAUCCUCCCUCGUCCAUUCCCCAGGUCGCGAGGCGCCAGCCAAAAUCAAUUACUACCCGGCCACAUUUCCAAACCGUAGUCACCAUGCACAUCCACCCCGCCACCC
RNAcentral lists this small RNA (649 nucleotides) under Histoplasma capsulatum. RNAcentral's name for it is "hypothetical RNA". The record is from RNAcentral. RNAcentral also lists the same sequence under 1 other name. Lineage: Eukaryota; Fungi; Ascomycota; Eurotiomycetes; Onygenales; Ajellomycetaceae.